This is a long non-coding RNA of Acinonyx jubatus (cheetah), 2921 nucleotides long. RefSeq lists it as uncharacterized. The record is from RefSeq and is a predicted model, not a curated record. Lineage: Eukaryota; Metazoa; Chordata; Mammalia; Carnivora; Felidae. The transcript has 3 exons.
GGGUGGGGAAGGGGCGCGGAUGCGGCGGGAGCUCCGGGGGCGCAGGCCUGGCGCGGGGUCCCCUCUAGCCCGGAUUUGGGGAACAUAGGGAAGGCCCUCUCCCGCGCAGCUGCUGCCCCCGGCCCAACAGUUCCCGGGUGCGGCGGGACUCACGGCCUUCAGCUGCUCCAGUCGGUCCUUCAUCCUGCUGCCCAGGCGCCCGGAGGCAGGUGAGCGCGUCCCAGGUGAGCGCGUCCCAGGUGAGCGGCCGGAAGUGGCGGGCGGCCGGCCGGCCGGCCGGGUCGGGGCGAAGGAGCUGGAGGGGCAGGCGGAGGCGGGCGGCGGCCGCGGGCUAGGAGGAGCGUCCGAGGCCACGGGAGGCUCCGCCGCGCCGCCCCCUGCGGCCCCGCCGGCGCCGCGCUCUCCAAAUCCGGCUCCCGGGCCGGCGCCGGCGCGCAGCGCAGAUCCGCCCGGCGGGCCCGCCCCUCACCUGCGCCGCGCCCCGCGCUCCUCCUUAAAGGGCCCUCCGCUCGGGCGGCUCCGGCUCCGGCGCGGGGGGGAGGGCGGGGGAGUCCAGGGAAAAGGGCGGGCCCGAGGGAGACCCCCUCCUUUUCCCCCGACGGCCGCUCGCGGCCUGCACCGGGCUGUGUCGGGCCCGGCCGCACACUGUCCCGGGGACCGAGAACGCUGUGCGCCUAGCAGGUGGGAGGGAGAGCCAGGCGUCCCUCUCCCCCCCCGCCCCCCGCAACCGAGGAAGGGCGCUCCAAGGGACGGAGCUGGCCGUCCGGGGGACUGCGGGAUACCGCUGGGGGCGCGUGUUCUUUCCUAAAGGAAAUAACCGGGGGUGCGGCGGGGCGGCGGCGAAGACUCUGGAUUUGACACUGGUCGCAAUCGCGACCCCUCCGAGAAAUGGAAGGAGUCCAACGUUGGAGGCAGCACCUGCCGCUAAUAAUCUGUACAACUUUGGGGGUUGCGGUUUCUCUAGAGGACUGCGUUUCCGGAGGGGUCUGGUUCGCACCGCACAGAACCGGGGUGGUAAGAUCGAGAUGUCUGUGUCACGAACUGUUUGUUUGUCAAGCUGAAGCCGUCUUCGUUCCUACGAGGUGUGGACUGCCAGUGCGUGAUCCAGGCUGACUUCAUCUCCUCCCAUAAAGAUACGGUCGUAAGCGGUCGGGCUGGAUGAACUCUUUCUCGUCCCUGACCCUCCUUUGGGCUACACUUCCUUCCACCCCGGACGCUCCCUAGGCAGAAGUUUGGAUUCCACCUGCUAGCUGUAUACAAGAAAUGAAAAAGUCGGGGCGCCUGGGUGGCUCAGUCUGUUAACUGUUGGACUUCGGCUCAGGUCAUGAUCUCGCACUCCAUGAGUUCGAGCCCUACAUCAGGCUCUGUGCUGACAGCUCAGAGCACAGAGCCUGCUUCGGAUUCUGUGUCUCCCUCUCUCUCUCCCUUCCCCAACUUGUGCUCUGUCUCUCUCUCUCUCUCUCUCUCAAAAAUCAAUAAAUGUUAAAAAAUUUAAAAACAAAAUGAAAUGAAAAAGUCAAGUAACUGGAAUAUGGUACCUGGGCAAGGGGAGUCCAGGGGCUGGUGAAAAAGACUCUUGAUGUUGAGCCCAAGUGGACUCUAGGGUCUCCACGUAGGUGUGGACGGGGACUUGAGGUUCCAGGCUUAGCUGGAGCCCCAACUGAUGUAUUUUUAUUCUUCUGCCCCACGGUGGAACUUCGUUUCCCAUCUGCUGUGUUUUGGUGUAGCUGUUUCCCCGUUAAACAAACAGAGCCCAAAUCCACUCAAGUGUUUGCAUUUUGGCUAUGUGUAAAACCAGCCGACACUCAGUUUCACCUCUACAGACCAACCAAAGGCUCCUGGCGUUUGGCAACUCCGCUUCCUUCUCUCUCCUCCCUCCGACCCUACUUCGUUCCCAUCGGAGGAAGGGAGUGGGCCUUACCCCUUCUGGACCUCCAGAGCCCACUGCACGACAGGUGACGCCUCUCCAUAGGGCAGUUCACAACAUGGCAGCUGGUUUCCAUCAGAACAGGCAGGCGAGAGGGAGAGAUGGAAGCCAAAGCACUUUUGAACCUAAUCUCGGCUGUGACGUCAUUUAGGCUGUAUCUGUUCAUUGGAAGUUACUCACUGGGUGCAGCCCACGCUCACGGUGAGGGGAUGACACAGUAGAAUGAAGACUGGCAGUCCUCUCAAUGCCUACCUAGUACAUAGUUCAGAUCCCAAAUCAAUGCCAGAGUUAGGCUGCGUCACUUUCUCAGAGCUCUCUUCUCCCCCAUGCUCGUCCGGGACACCACUGGUACAUUCUCCAGGCCUCAGAGUAAAAGUUUCCCCCUCCAGGAUGGAGUUAAGUGUCCCUCAAACAUGCCUCUGGUGACACCCUGCGCUUUAUCGUAGCCCCUACCACCCUAUGAAUUACCUGGCCACUGGUCUGCCUCGUGUGCCUUCUGUAAGCUCUGAGGACAGCAGCCUUGUCUUUUGUCUUCACUGAUGUGGACCCCGACCCAGGCACAGGGCCACAAAUGUAUCAGGCGUUCGGUUAAGAUUUACCAAAUUUAGUAAGCGAAUCUUCUUAUAAUGUGCCUCCAUUACGUCUUUCUUCUGAUGGAAACUCAUCAGUAGCUUCUCAUUACAACGAGUAGGGAGUACAGACUCUUCUUGGAAUGGUAUUCAGGCCUUUGCCCAAUCUGGCCCCGGGCCCCAUGCCCUCCAUGACAUGCACAGCCCCUCGUUAGCCUCACUGAAUGCCCACCUCCUCUCUGAGCCAGAUGCACCAAGGAUUUCCCACCUACCUCUGCCUAAUAGGCCCUUAAUCCUUUUCACGUCUAACAGAUCUGUGCUCCUCCUUCAAAACCCAAACCUCACGUGGCCCCAUGGCCCCUCUGCCUGCCUCUGCACAACUUGUUCAGACCUCUUUUUAAAGCACACCCUGGCUCCGUUGUUAA